RNAcentral lists this ribosomal RNA (253 nucleotides) under uncultured bacterium. RNAcentral describes it as "partial 16S ribosomal RNA". It matches the Rfam family "Bacterial small subunit ribosomal RNA", at positions 524 to 776 of the family's 1533-position model. The record is from RNAcentral.
AACGUAGGGGGCUAGCGUUGUUCGGAAUUACUGGGCGUAAAGCGCACGUAGGCGGAUUAGUCAGUCAGGGGUGAAAUCCCGGGGCUCAACCUCGGAACUGCCUUUGAUACUGCUGAUCUCGAGUCCGGAAGAGGUGAGUGGAAUUCCUAGUGUAGAGGUGAAAUUCGUAGAUAUUAGGAAGAACACCAGAGGCGAAGGCGGCUCACUGGUCCGGUACUGACGCUGAGGUGCGAAAGCGUGGGGAGCAAACAGG